GACGAACGCUGGCGGCGUGCUUAACACAUGCAAGUCGAGCGGUAAGGCCCUUUCGGGGGUACACGAGCGGCGAACGGGUGAGUAACACGUGGGUGACCUGCCCUCAGCUCUGGGAUAAAGCCGUGGGAAACGUGGGUCUAAUACUGGAUAUGACUCCACGGUGCAUGUCGUGGGGUGAAAGCCUUGUGCGGCUGAGGAUGGGCCCGCGGCCUAUCAGCUUGUU
This 223-nucleotide ribosomal RNA is filed under the name uncultured bacterium. Its description in RNAcentral is "partial 16S ribosomal RNA". It matches the Rfam family "Bacterial small subunit ribosomal RNA", at positions 28 to 250 of the family's 1533-position model. The record is from RNAcentral.